This 254-nucleotide ribosomal RNA is filed under the name uncultured bacterium. RNAcentral's name for it is "partial 16S ribosomal RNA". It matches the Rfam family "Bacterial small subunit ribosomal RNA", at positions 524 to 776 of the family's 1533-position model. The record is from RNAcentral.
GACAGAGGUGCCAAGCGUUAGGCGGAAUCACUGGGCUUAAAGCGCGUGUAGGCGGGAGGGCACGUCCGUUGCUGAAAUCCCCCGGCUCAACCGGGGAACGGGCGCGGAUACGACUCUCCUUGAGGGGCGUAGGGGGACCUGGAACUUCCGGUGGAGCGGUGAAAUGCGUUGAGAUCGGAAGGAACGCCCGUGGCGAAAGCGAGGUCCUGGACGCCUACUGACGCUGAGACGCGAAAGCCAGGGGAGCGAACGGG